GACGAACCGAGCGAACGUUGUUCGGAAUCACUGGGCUUAAAGGGCGCGUAGGCGGGCGGCUAAGUCUGUGGUGAAAUCCUCCAGCUCAACUGGAGAACUGCCAUGGAUACUGGUUGUCUCGAGGAAGGUAGGGGUAUGCGGAACUAUCGGUGGAGCGGUGAAAUGCGUUGAUAUCGAUAGGAACUCCGGUGGCGAAGGCGGCAUACUGGACCUUUUCUGACGCUGAGGCGCGAAAGCUAGGGGAGCAAACGGG
RNAcentral lists this ribosomal RNA (253 nucleotides) under uncultured bacterium. Its description in RNAcentral is "partial 16S ribosomal RNA". It matches the Rfam family "Bacterial small subunit ribosomal RNA", at positions 524 to 776 of the family's 1533-position model. The record is from RNAcentral.